GAAGGUGAUCUUUACAUCUGGUCCACGGUGGUUUAUUGUUCAUCGUUUGUUUAUGAUAAACCAUCGUGCCGCAGAUGAUAAGAGCACCUUC
Molecule: microRNA precursor, 91 nt
Filed under: Pinus densata
Lineage: Eukaryota; Viridiplantae; Streptophyta; Pinopsida; Pinales; Pinaceae
Description: miR950 stem-loop (pde-MIR950)
Gene: pde-MIR950
Rfam family: MIR950 microRNA precursor family
Source: miRBase by way of RNAcentral